RNAcentral lists this ribosomal RNA (400 nucleotides) under uncultured bacterium. Its description in RNAcentral is "bacterial SSU rRNA". It matches the Rfam family "Bacterial small subunit ribosomal RNA", at positions 30 to 430 of the family's 1533-position model. The record is from RNAcentral.
AUUGAACGCUGGCGGCAUGCUUUACACAUGCAAGUCGAACGGGGUUGGGAGCUUGCGUUCCAAUCUAGUGGCGAACGGGUGAGUAAUACAUCGGAACGUACCGUGUAGUGGGGAUAACGGUAGCGAAAGUUACGCUAAUACCGCAUACGAUCCACGGAUGAAAGCGAGGGGACCUUCGGGCCUUGUGCUAUACGAGCGGCCGAUGUCUGAUUAGCUAGUUGGUGGGGUAAAGGCCCACCAAGGCAACGAUCAGUAGCGGGUCUGAGAGGAUGAUCCGCCACACUGGGACUGAGACACGGCCCAGACUCCUACGGGAGGCAGCAGUGGGGAAUUUUUGGACAAUGGGCGCAAGCCUGAUCCAGCCAUGCCGCGUGUCUGAAGAAGGCCUUCGGUUGUAAGG